This is a long non-coding RNA of Lycium barbarum (goji berry), 1061 nucleotides long. RefSeq lists it as uncharacterized. Lineage: Eukaryota; Viridiplantae; Streptophyta; Magnoliopsida; Solanales; Solanaceae. The record is from RefSeq and is a predicted model, not a curated record. The transcript is spliced from 2 exons.
UAUCCGUUAAAUUAAUUAUAAGUCAAUAUUUUAUUAAAUCCUUAUUUUCUACUAAUUGUCAUCAUAAUAUAUAUACAAGUUAAUCACUUAGAAGUUGUAGAAGUUAAUUACCAAAAAGCCCAAAAGGAAUUAAUUAGAAGAAGAAAAUACCCAACAAUUUCAGCUAUUUGAAGCCCAUUCUUAUGAGCCCAAUUCGUGACCAGUCCAUAUUUUUUAACAGACCAGCCCACAUCCUUUAAUGACUUAACCCGGCCCACUAUAAUCCCUAAAUCCCUCAUCACAAAAAAAAAAAAAAAAAAAAAACACACGCGGCCGCACACUCUCAUCUCUCUCAUCCCUUUCCUCUUCCAAACAAGAAACCAUUUUUCUUAGCCAUGGCAGAUUUUUGCCUUGCCACUUUUAUAUAAGUUUCUCCUCUCUCAUCUUCAACGAUUUGGUCAACGUAAAUGGCCAAAAACACUUCUGAAGUUUUCAGAAAAAGAAAGCAAUUUCAGAGAUUCGAUUUUGAUUUUCAAAUAGCUAAUUCGUGUAGAAAUCCCGCCCAAAUUGAAACCCUAGGUUUUUGAUUUACACCUAUAAAUAUCACUCUAAUUCCUCAGCCGAAUGGAGGUUUUUUUGGGGGGGAAUAGCUUGAACCACCCAGAAAUCCUUAGCGUUUUUUUUUACAAUUUCCCAUUUUUGGACUACCUCUCUAAACCUUAAGAUUGUUUAAACGUUUCAUUUUGUCUUGGUGGACUUUGGCCGUGACAGAGAUUCUCGAGCUCAUUUGUGUCGAGUUCCGAUGUGUUCCUAACGAGAGUAAAUUCGAGGCGUCGACGUCCCGCUCCCUGCACUCACAAGAGGUAUGGAUCUUACAUUGGAGUAUAUCUGUGAUCAACAAUUGACGAGAACCAAGGACAUCGCAAAAUGGAGCUAGAAUUUUAGACAUAAGAAAUUGUAUUUACCUCACUUAGAUUAGGAAAUAUUUUAUAUGUAAUAAAUACUGCAUUACUUUUGUACUUUAUUUUGGGAAAUAGAAUUUGUUUAAUUAGCCAAAAGCAAUGGGAUGACGUAUUGUGGCA